This is a long non-coding RNA of Oncorhynchus tshawytscha (Chinook salmon), 657 nucleotides long. The record is from Ensembl. Lineage: Eukaryota; Metazoa; Chordata; Actinopteri; Salmoniformes; Salmonidae.
AUAACAUUAAAAUAUUGCCUGUCAAAUAACAGCUUAUUAAUCACCUCCUACAAUCCCAUAAAUGUGAGCUCAGGUAGCCAGCCAUAAAUGUGAGCUCAGGUAGCCAGCCAUAAAUGUGAGCUCAGGUAGCCAGCCGUAAAUUUGAGCUCAGGUAGCCAGCCAUAAAUGUGAGCUCAGGUAGCCAGCCAUAAAUGUGAGCUCAGGUAGCCAGCCGUAAAUGUGAGCUCAGGUAGCCAGCCAUAAAUGUGAGCUUAGGUAGCCAGCCGUAAUGUGAGCUCAGGUAGCCAGCCGUAAAUGUGAGCUCAGGUAGGUAGCCGUAAAUGUGAGCUCAGGUAGCCAGCCAUAAAUGUGAGCUCAGAUAGCCAGCCGUAAAUGUGAGCUCAGGUAGCCAGCCGUAAAUUUGAGUUCAGGUAGCCAGCCGUAAAUUUGAGCUCAGGUAGCCAGCCAUAAAUGUGAGCUCAGGUAGCCAGCCAUAAAUGUGAGCUCAGGUAGCCAGCCGUAAAUUGAGAAAUUAAAGGGAAUCUCCACCCAAAAACGACGUUUUGGUAUUUGUUUCAUUAGUCAAUUGUUGACAUAGUCCCAAAAUGUCUUGCUUGUCAGCAAUCAAGUUUCCAAGAUAUGUAACUUUCAAAAUACAUAAAUCAUCCCUGUGUGAUU